UCAUGAGCAUGAGACACAACUGUGCAGUUAUAGCCUGAAUGUACUGUACGUAGGCUGACAAAAUGAGACUUGACAAAGAAAAAUGGCGUUUGAGAGUGAAUGGAUUUCUCACUCAAAUACUUGCUCCAAUGAUGUUCUCCAUCAGUGGUACAUUAUACCUCUCUUCGUUGCAUAGGUUUGUCACUAACCCAAAGAAGGCAGGCAUCAAUGAAACCACACUCCAGCAGGUGGAGCCUGGAUUAGAUGAGUCGGAAACAAUGUACGCACUGCUGAUAACUAUUUAUUCCUGCGGCGAACUUACAGGAGGAUUGCUGUCAGGUUUUUUAACUAAAUGCAUCCCGAAUUGGUACCAGUUUGUAUUUGCCAUAUCUCUGCACACGAUUGGCUACGUGUUGUAUGGUGUUGCAACUAACGGUGGGAUACUAAUGAUCGGCAUGUUCCUGGCUGGAUACUAUUUGGGAGCACAAAUCACACUCAGUAUGAACUACGCAACAGAAAUGAGUGUCGAGUAUGUGAAUCUACUGAAGGAAGUAAUGAAUGAAAAAGAUGAAAAUUUUGAAUAUGAGAAGAAAGUGGUGAAAACUCGUAACUUCCUAUAUUCAGUCUACUCCAUUGGAUUCAGCGUUGGGCUUGUCGUUGGUCCUAGUGUUUCAGUAAUAUUUUCUAACCUUCCAAUUGAGCAGUAUCGAUCGAUUGCUUGGUUCAAUGUAGCUUUUGGAGUUAUAUUGUUGAUCUUGUUCUGUUUUCUCUUCCGUGGAGAGAGUAAAUGGAACAGAACUAAUUGUCAUGAGCUUUGUGUCCGCUCAAAAAACAAUUCAAGUUCGGCCAGGCCUGGACCACUGCAAAUAUUCAUUAUUGUGAGUAUGCACUUGCUAUCGUUCGUACAAAUGCUGAAGUGGGCAUAUUUUGAAGCCCUAAUGAAUCCAAUUCUAAGUGAUUCAUUUGGGUUCUCUCUAAACACAUCUUCCUACGUCUUCUUGGGGGUGGCUAUCUCAAGCAUUCUAGGCUCCAUCUUACUGGUCUUGUUACAAAGAAUCAAAAUCAGUACACAGAUGGGAGCUUUCAUUGGUAUUUCAAUGACAAUUGCAGGAUACUUCUUGGUAACAGAUUGGCAGGCUAUACCUUAUGAUCCAUGCACUGAGUACAGUCCGUUCCAUCAUCCAGAUCGCUUUCAAAACAACCACUCAAGUCUAGGAAUGUUAACACCUUUGGAUAAUACUCCCCCAAGUUGGCCUGCUCUCUUAAAUAAUCGUGCACACAUGGAUAUUGAGUUGGAUUUUGGCGAUCGAACGUACACAGAAAUUGCUUACCACUUUAAUUUCAGCUGCUAUGUUGAUAAAUUUUGCCCAUUUUGCACCGAGAAAUCUACCAGCAAGCACCGGUGUUUGUCGUUUGUAGUUGAAGGUGAAAACGAAUCCUCAGAACAGAGGAAAGCAACGGACACUACUGCUACCAUUGUAUCUGAUAGGGAUGGUGCUGUUGAUAGGAAGCUACCCUCUUGUCUGGGUGAAUUUGGUGGCCAUAGCUAACAAUCAGAGUCCUGAAAGUGUUCAGGGUAUUGUGAUAGGAAGUAUCAAUGCAGCAAAUGGACUUGCUGAGAGUAUCAGUCCUGUGGUUGUCGAUUGAAAAGACGAAGAAAAGAACUUUCGUGCCGUCUAUUCUGUUUGCUCUGUUGCAUAUACCAUUUCUCAU
This is an RNA transcript of Halichondria panicea, 1692 nucleotides long. RefSeq lists it as uncharacterized. The record is from RefSeq and is a predicted model, not a curated record. NCBI's taxonomy places the organism in Eukaryota, Metazoa, Porifera, Demospongiae, Suberitida, Halichondriidae. The transcript has 8 exons.